RNAcentral lists this transfer RNA (97 nucleotides) under Clostridia bacterium. RNAcentral's name for it is "tRNA-Sec". It matches the Rfam family "Selenocysteine transfer RNA". The record is from RNAcentral. Lineage: Bacteria; Bacillati; Bacillota; Clostridia.
GGGAGUGGAUUGGGCCUGGUGGCCCGCCUGGACUUCAAAUCCAGCGGAACGUGGUGAUCCCACGUUUGGUGUGUUCGAUUCGCACCCAUUCCCGCCA